CUCGCUACGCUNAUAGUCGCUUGCGACUAUAAGUUAGCGUGUGAGUGGCAAACGGGUGAGUAACACGUGGAUAACCUGCCUUAAAGUCAUGAACAGCUCAUCGAAAGAUGGGAUAAUACAUGAUAGUCUUACAAUUUCUAUCCGACUUUGUAAGUAAAGCUCCGGCGCUUUAAGAGGGGUCCGCGUCCUAUCAGCUUGUUGGUGAGGUAAUAGCUCACCAAGGCUAAGACGGGUAGCUGGCGUGAGAGCGCGGUCAGCCACCAUGGAACUGAGACACGGUCCAUACUCCUACGGGAGGCAGCAAUUAGGAAUCUUGCGCAAUGGGGGCAACCCUGACGCAGCGACACAGCGUGGAGGAUGACGGUCUUCGGAUUGUAAACUCCUUUUAUGUGGGAAGAAUAGAUGACGGUACCAUAUGAAUAAGCACCUGCUAACUACGUGCCAGAAGCAUCGGUGAUACGUAGGGUGCGAACGUUAUCCGGAUUUAUUGGGCGUAUAGAGAUGCGUAGGCGUUUCUGUAAGUCUAAAGUUAAAGCCCACGGCUCAACCGUGGAAAAGCUUUGGAAACUGCAGAAAUUGAGACAGGAAGAGGCGAAUGGAAUUCCCAGUGGAGCGGUGAAAUGCGUUGAUAUUGGGAGGAACAUCAGUGGCGAAGGCGAUUCGCUGGUCCUUGUCUGACGCUGAGGCUCGAAAGCGUGGGUAGCAAAACGGAUUAGAUACCCGUGUAGUCCACGCCGUAAACUAUGGAUGCUAGGUGUUCGGUACAACUCUUUUUUCCUUCGGGAAAGAAUGGAAGUAUUGAGUGCCGCAGCUAACGCGUUAAGCAUCCCGCCUGGGAAGUACGGNCGCAAGG
Molecule: ribosomal RNA, 853 nt
Filed under: uncultured candidate division WS6 bacterium
Lineage: Bacteria
Description: bacterial SSU rRNA
Rfam family: Bacterial small subunit ribosomal RNA
Source: RNAcentral